CAGCCAGCAAUUUUUGACCCCACCUCUGCACUGUGAAUGGGUUUCAGAUAUCCUUUGGAUCCGCUGCCUUUCAGGCAGCCUGCUCCAUGAGGCUCCAGCAAUUAAGAAUGGUGAGGAACGAGCUGGACAGGAAUUGUUCUGAUGGAGAGAAGCCUGCUGUGCAGCCUGGCUCAUAGGACCUGAUGCCCACCAUUGCCAACAGCGUCACAGAAUGGGGACAGGAUUCAAGCUGGAUUCUCGCUCUGGAUGUCUAUUUCAAGCUUUCAGGUGGUGGCAUACAAAGGUAGAAGUGUUCCCAGAGCUCUGUGCAUGAGGAUGGCACCUGGGAGGACCCAUCACUUCGCUGUCACAACCGAGCCAGGAAAAAGGCCCA
RNAcentral lists this long non-coding RNA (373 nucleotides) under Chrysolophus pictus (golden pheasant). RNAcentral's name for it is "lncRNA (ENSCPIG00010008504.1)". The record is from RNAcentral. Lineage: Eukaryota; Metazoa; Chordata; Aves; Galliformes; Phasianidae.